AUGCUCCCACAGCCACUGCACAUCCCGGCAGGGGGGGGAACCCUCGGAUCUGGAGCGCAGAGCCGGAAGGGAUCCAAGAUUUGGAUCGGGAUCCAACACCUGGAUGGGGAUCAGCUGGGAGUGAUGGGUGCUUGGAGAGUCCUUGGGCAGCACCAUCUGUCUGUCCAUCCAUCCACGGAUCCAUGCCUUCAUUCAUCCCUUUAUCCAUCCAUCCAUCCAUCCAUCCAUCAUCCAUCCAUCAUCCAUCCAUCAUCCAUCCAUCAUCCAUCCAUCCAUCCAUCCAUCCAUCCAUCCAUCCAUCAUCCAUCAUCCAUCCAUCAUCCAUCCAUCCAUCCAUCAUCCAUCCAUCCAUCCAUCAUCCAUCCAUCAUCCAUCCAUCAUCCAUCCAUCAUCCAUCCAUCAUCAUCCAUCCAUCCAUCAUCCAUCCAUCAUCCAUCCAUCAUCCAUCCAUCCAUCCAUCCAUCCAUCAUCCAUCCAUCAUCCAUCCAUCAUCCAUCCAUCCAUCCAUCCAUCCAUCCAUUCAUCAUCCAUCCAUCAUCCAUCCAUCAUCCAUCAUCCAUCCAUCCAUCCAUCCAUCAUCCAUCCAUCAUCCAUCCAUCCAUCCAUCCAUCAUCCAUCCAUCAUCCAUCCAUCAUCCAUCCAUCAUCCAUCAUCCAUCCAUCCAUCAUCCAUCCAUCCAUCAUCCAUCCAUCAUCCAUCCAUCAUCCAUCCAUCAUCCAUCCAUCCAUCCAUCCAUCCAUCCAUCCAUCAUCCAUCCAUCAUCCAUCCAUCCAUCCAUCCAUCCAUCAUCCAUCCAUCAUCCAUCAUCCAUCAUCCAUCCAUCAUCCAUCCAUCCAUCCAUCAUCCAUCCAUCCAUCCAUCCAUCCAUCAUCCAUCCAUCCAUCAUCCAUCCAUCCAUCCAUCCAUCCAUCCAUCAUCCAUCCAUCAUCCAUCCAUCCAUCCAUCCAUCCAUCCAUCCAUCCAUCAUCCAUCCAUCAUCCAUCAUCCAUCCAUCCAUCAUCCAUCCAUCAUCCAUCCAUCCAUCAUCCAUCCAUCCAUCAUCCAUCCAUCCAUCAUCCAUCCAUCCAUCAUCCAUCAUCCAUCAUCCAUCCAUCCAUCCCACACAUGGAUCCCAGUGGGACAGGGACACUCUGCCCUUCCUUCAUCCAUGAAAAACCCCCGGGACUGCUCCGGGAUGGGAUCUGA
This 1185-nucleotide long non-coding RNA is filed under the name Taeniopygia guttata (zebra finch). RNAcentral's name for it is "lncRNA (ENSTGUG00000026043.1)". Lineage: Eukaryota; Metazoa; Chordata; Aves; Passeriformes; Estrildidae. The record is from RNAcentral.